AGAGACAGCAGUAGCCGCGGUAAUACGUAGGUGGCAAGCGUUGUCCGGAAUUAUUGGGCGUAAAGGGCUCGCAGGCGGUUUCUUAAGUCUGAUGUGAAAGCCCCCGGCUCAACCGGGGAGGGUCAUUGGAAACUGGGAAACUUGAGUGCAGAAGAGGAGAGUGGAAUUCCACGUGUAGCGGUGGAAUGCGUAGAGAUGUGGAGGAACACCAGUGGCGAAGGCGACUCUCUGGUCUGUAACUGACGCUGAGGAGCGAAAGCGUGGGGAGCGAACAGGAUUAGAGACCCCCGUAGUCCCUGUCUCUUAUAC
This 309-nucleotide ribosomal RNA is filed under the name uncultured bacterium. RNAcentral's name for it is "partial 16S ribosomal RNA". It matches the Rfam family "Bacterial small subunit ribosomal RNA", at positions 504 to 807 of the family's 1533-position model. The record is from RNAcentral.